GAGCAGCUCAACCAAAGCGGAGAGGAGAUGUUGGGCAAGAAAGGAAGUCUUUCCUUCAGCCAUCAAGCCUUCAACCAAGCAUAACUGAUCCUCUCUCUUGAGGAGAGAUCGGAGUAGAGAGUGUAUCCAUGAACCAACUUUACUUCAAGACUACAGCUGUCCUUUUGGAAAGACAUACCGGGCAUACUCAUCUGACUACUAGCUUUGGCUAGCAGGACUGGGAGAAAAGCCUUAUCGAUUGACUCGCCUACGCCGACUGGGUUAGGAUUAGGUAUCACAUUGGAGAUUGUCAUAUCUUUCUUGUAAACAAAACAGCAUUUAUUGUUUUCCAGGAGUGAAGCUACUGUCCCAAUAGGUGAAUGAGCUAACCCUCUGACAGAGGAACCAGCUCUGACAUAAGCGAUUGGAAGAUCUGAUCUUUCUUUGAAGACCGGUCCGAUCCGAUUGAAGUUGAAGUCAAAAAAGAAGUCGAGGUUCUGAAAGAAACAAAUCAAUCAUUGUAUUGUCAGCUUAAGGUAAAAUUUAUUAUUUUCUUUUAAUAAGAUGAUUGGGCCCUACAGUGGUAUAACCGGGUGAACCUCUCUCCUAUAGGCCACUCAAACAUAGAGAGAUUAGGGACCGAAUGGCCAGCCCUCCCUACUAUAUCUCAGUUUCUAUCGGCCGGUGUCGGUGUCAGCCAAGGAAACGGACCCUAUGAGAUGAGUUAGAAAACGAGGUCCCACUCCGACUAAAGGAAGUGGCUAGCCUUGGAAGUUUCUGGCAAUGAAGCAGACAAGAUAAUAUAAACAAGAUCCAAUUCCGAGUCCCGAGAUGAUUUCUUUUCGAUUAGGACACGCAGCCACAACAGGGAAGCAGUCAGGAAUGCAGCAGGAGUGGAAAGGGAUAACAUGAGAUUAGGGAAAGGAGCCGUUAGGCCACUCGAUGAAAGGAAGAAUAGCAGCUGCCAAAGCAAAGCAAAAGGCCAGGCAUUGGACUAGUGGAAUGAAACCUUAUCCCAUUAUGGAGUGAGAACCUGAUAUUCUUUUAUCAAAAGACAUGGCCUCCCCUAAUGGACUUUGGAACAGAUACACGAGCCACUAUCUUAGAUACCAUCUUUCUUGAGUAGCCGGAAGAGUCACUAAUAGGCUAGGACAGGAGCCUGAAGUAGACCCGCGGGGAAGAAGCCGAAGUAAGAACAAUAGACCUUUCUUAGCCAAAACAGCUAGAAGCGUCCUCCCAUUCUUUAAUGGAAUGCGGGGAAAAAGGGAGGAGAGGGCCAGCCAAGGACAAACGGGAUUAGGUCCCACAUUCUCUCAGGUAUGGGGUCUCACCUACUAUGCCAUUUCCCCAUCCAUCUUUCUUUGAAGGCCGAGUGAACGAAAGGAUAAACGCAAGCUAAAAAACCAAACUUAUAGCAUUUAAUGGUAGAAGAGUAGCCUACCAAAGAGUUUAGGUCAGGGAUCAAAGGAGAUUGAUAGGUCGCACAUUCGCUCAGUGAGGAGCGAGAAGAAAGAGUUCCCAGCCCGGCCAUCAUCUAUGUCUUAGUUCGAACCAUUAUUAAGAGAAAGGAACUUUACUUUGGGAAAGAUCAGUGACUAGACGGGCCAUCAUCUUGGGGGAGGGAAAGCCUUUCUUUUGUUCCAUUCCAGGAGAAGAAUGCCAUGCCACUCAACCAGAGGCAGAGAAAAAGACAAUGAAAAACAGAAGGAAGGUUGAUUCGAAGGAUCUCCCUUAGCCCUUCAAGAAAGCUGGCACACACGGAAAGAGAAAAGGAUUGAACAUUAGUACUGGAUUCUUGAUCCCCUGAUCUUGAUAUAUGAAUAGGACGGACGAAGUCAAAGACGAAGAGAGAUCAUAACAGGCACAAAAGGCCAAUUAACAAAGCGAGAGUAGGGAUCUCUUCUCUUCAGACGGGGAGGGCUCUUCCAGCACUCUUUCCAGCUAGAAGAAAGCAACCAACAAAGCCAGACAGCAAUCAAGAGAGUGGGGC
Molecule: long non-coding RNA, 1969 nt
Filed under: Theobroma cacao (cacao)
Lineage: Eukaryota; Viridiplantae; Streptophyta; Magnoliopsida; Malvales; Malvaceae
Description: long non-coding RNA (TCAC_LNC006442)
Source: RNAcentral